CAGUGAUUACUUUAACGGCCGCGGUACCCUGACCGUGCAAAGGUAGCAUAAUCAUUUGCCUUUUAAUUGAAGGCUAGUAUGAAUGGUUUAACGAGAGUAAAACUGUCUCACAUGUAUUUUACAGAAAUUAAUUUGAAGGUGCAAAAGCCUUCAUUAACUAAAAAGACGAGAAGACCCUGUUGAGCUUUAAUUUUAACUAGAUAUGCUUUUAUAUUUAUAUAAUUUAUUAAUCUAGUAAAAAUUUUAAUUGGGGCGAUUAAGGAACAACAAAAAGCUUCCUGAUGAUAAAUUAGAUCGAUCCAGCCAUGCUGAUCAACAAAAUGAGUUACCACAGGGAUAACAGCAUAAUUCUUUUUAAGAGCUCGUAUCGAAAAAAGAGAUUGUGACCUCGAUGUUGGACUAGGGUGACAAAAAGGUGUAGCCGCUUUUUUGCUUGGUCUGUUCGACCAAUAAUUCCCU
Molecule: ribosomal RNA, 459 nt
Filed under: Thalassonerita naticoidea
Lineage: Eukaryota; Metazoa; Mollusca; Gastropoda; Cycloneritida; Phenacolepadidae
Description: partial 16S large subunit ribosomal RNA
Rfam family: Bacterial large subunit ribosomal RNA
Source: RNAcentral